UACGUAGGUGGCAAGCGUUAUCCGGAAUUACUGGGCGUAAAGCGCACGUAGGCGGCUUUGUAAGUUAGAGGUGAAAGCCCGGGGCUCAACUCCGGAACUGCCUUUAAGACUGCAUCGCUUGAAUCCGGGAGAGGUGAGUGGAAUUCCGAGUGUAGAGGUGAAAUUCGUAGAUAUUCGGAAGAACACCAGUGGCGAAGGCGGCUCACUGGACCGGUAUUGACGCUGAGGUGCGAAAGCGUGGGGAGCAAACAGG
RNAcentral lists this ribosomal RNA (253 nucleotides) under uncultured bacterium. Its description in RNAcentral is "partial 16S ribosomal RNA". It matches the Rfam family "Bacterial small subunit ribosomal RNA", at positions 524 to 776 of the family's 1533-position model. The record is from RNAcentral.